GGUGGCGCAGCUAACGCAUUAAGUUAUCCGCCUGGGGAGUACGGCCGCAAGGUUAAAACUCAAAGGAAUUGACGGGGGCCUGCACAAAGCAUGUGGUUUAAUUCGAAGCAACGCGCAGAACCUUACCAGCGUUUGACAUGGUAGGACGACUUCCAGAGAUGGAUUUCUUCCCUUCGGGGACCUACACACAGGUGCUGCAUGGCUGUCGUCAGCUCGUGUCGUGAGAUGUUGGGUUAAGUCCCGCAACGAGCGCAACCCUCGACUUUAGUUACCAUCAUUAAGUUGGGUACUUUAAAGUAACCGCCGGUGAUAAGCCGGAGGAAGGUGGGGAUGACGUCAAGUCCUCAUGGCCCUUACGCGCUGGGCUACACACGUGCUACAAUGGCAAGUACAGUGGGCAGCAAUCCCGCGAGGGUGAGCUAAUCUCCAAAACUUGUCUCAGUUCGGAUUGUUCUCUGCAACUCGAGAGCAUGAAGGCGGAAUCGCUAGUAAU
Molecule: ribosomal RNA, 493 nt
Filed under: Sphingomonas sp.
Lineage: Bacteria; Pseudomonadati; Pseudomonadota; Alphaproteobacteria; Sphingomonadales; Sphingomonadaceae
Description: bacterial SSU rRNA
Rfam family: Bacterial small subunit ribosomal RNA
Source: RNAcentral